GGGGAUUGAGGGUCAGAUGGUUCAGUGUCAGAUGAAAGUUCGUAGUAAGGUGGGGAUUGAGGAGAUGGUGAUGAUGAUGGUGAGGUGGUUUCAUUUAGCAUUUCUGCUUAUGAAAUAGCUAAAGUUGUGAUGGAAAGGUUGAAUUUUUGAGAUGGUGGGUUAGAGGAUCUGGGGUUGAGGGAGGAGUUUCAGCAGUGGUGUAUAUAGGGUUUGUUU
This 216-nucleotide long non-coding RNA is filed under the name Lathyrus oleraceus (garden pea). RNAcentral describes it as "Pisum sativum (pea) long non-coding RNA (PSAT_LNC019756)". Lineage: Eukaryota; Viridiplantae; Streptophyta; Magnoliopsida; Fabales; Fabaceae. The record is from RNAcentral.